UAAACGAUGUCGAUUUGGAGGUUGUGCCCUUGAGGCGUGGCUUCCGGAGCUAACGCGUUAAAUCGACCGCCUGGGGAGUACGGCCGCAAGGUUAAAACUCAAAUGAAUUGACGGGGGCCCGCACAAGCGGUGGAGCAUGUGGUUUAAUUCGAUGCAACGCGAAGAACCUUACCUGGUCUUGACAUCCACAGAACUUUCCAGAGAUGGAUUGGUGCCUUCGGGAACUGUGAGACAGGUGCUGCAUGGCUGUCGUCAGCUCGUGUUGUGAAAUGUUGGGUUAAGUCCCGCAACGAGCGCAACCCUUAUCCUUUGUUGCCAGCGGUUCGGCCGGGAACUCAAAGGAGACUGCCAGUGAUAAACUGGAGGAAGGUGGGGAUGACGUCAAGUCAUCAUGGCCCUUACGACCAGGGCUACACACGUGCUACAAUGGCAUAUACAAAGAGAAGCGACCUCGCGAGAGCAAGCGGACCUCAUAAAGUAUGUCGUAGUCCGGAUUGGAGUCUGCAACUCGACUCCAUGAAGUCGGAAUCGCUAGUAAUCGUAGAUCAGAAUGCUACGGUGAAUACGUUCCCGGGCCUUGUACACACCGCCCGUCACACCAUGGGAGUGGGUUGCAAAAGAAGUAGGUAGCUUAACCUUCGGGAGGGCGCUUACCACUUUGUGAUUCAUGACUGGGGUGAAGUCGUAACAAGGUAACCGUAGGGGAACCUGCGGUUG
RNAcentral lists this ribosomal RNA (717 nucleotides) under Klebsiella pneumoniae. RNAcentral describes it as "bacterial SSU rRNA". It matches the Rfam family "Bacterial small subunit ribosomal RNA", at positions 803 to 1520 of the family's 1533-position model. Lineage: Bacteria; Pseudomonadati; Pseudomonadota; Gammaproteobacteria; Enterobacterales; Enterobacteriaceae. The record is from RNAcentral.